Mesocricetus auratus (golden hamster) is the source of this 87-nucleotide non-coding RNA. The record is from Rfam. NCBI's taxonomy places the organism in Eukaryota, Metazoa, Chordata, Mammalia, Rodentia, Cricetidae.
UGACUCCUCCAAGUCUUGGAGUAGGUCGUUCGGUGGAUCCUCUGUUUUCACACAUGGACCACUGGAUGACUUCUCCAUGUCUUGGAG